AACAAAUUUUUUCUUACAUAUAUUUUGUUACUAAAAGUAGAUGUUCUAUAACAUGUUCUUUUUUAAUGACCUAAAUGCUGAGAAAGUGUUCCUUUUUAUGCCAUGUUUGUUCUACUUAGACAAUAACUUCUAAAUUCCUUCUUUAAUCACCAAAAGUUUUGCUAUUUUGACCGUGUGAGGUUCAAAACAGGACAUUUCCAAGAGAAUUCCCAAUCAUAUCAUGCUGGAAGAAGAAUAUGAUCAGGCAAAGAAUGAGAAUAGAGGAGCAACAUGGAUUUGGAAAAGGUCUUGUUCUGCUAGCCAAAAUUGCGCAACAACAUCAAGCAGUUAAUGUACUACCACAGCCACCACCACCACAACAACCAACUAUGCAACAACAACAAAUUCAACAUGAUGUACAUCAACCUGUCCAACAACCACAACAACUCCCACCACCACCACAACAACAAGCAACAACAAGCACACACCAAGAGAAUGUUGAACAACAAUAUCAACCUCCAUCAAAUUUGAAGGAUUCCAUAGAGGAGUUCAAUAAAUUGAUAAAGAAUAUUGGAGGAAACAUUUCAAGAUUUUCCUACUCAUAACAACUUUCCCAACAAAUAUUCAAAACCAACCAAAUUGAAGAUGUAAUGGCAAAUGUUUUCAAUGAGAUAUGGGACAAGUGUGCACACAAAGUGAAGCUUUCACAAAGUAACCGAGAGAAGACCCGAAAUAUUCUUAGUCAAGAUGAGGUAUUGUUUGCUAGUGAUGAAAUUGUAGAGCUUCUGAAAAAAUUCGAAACACAAGCUAUCGACACAUACCAAGGAAAGAAAAUAUCGGUUUUUGAAAUGACUCCUCCAUCCUUUUCUCUAGAAAUUGAUUCCAACCAAACACCACAACCAAGAGAGGUAAAUGUUCAACAGCCAAGCUUAGACUUGAAGUUGGAUAUUGACGACUUGGAUAAUCUGAUUUCUACACCAGAACACACUUCAAUUGAAUACCUCUUUGAAAAAGAAAUGCAAAAUCUUGGAAGAGAACACAAUGACAGAGAUUUGAUGAAAGAAAGCAAACGUCCUAAGCAUAUAGUACAAAAUCUGCCACCUUGCUUUCGUUAUCCAUUCCUUGUCAAAUACGAGAACCUUUUCAAGAACCUGACAGGAUCGUACACAACAUUAUCAGACUAUGCAUUUCAACAAGGAAAUGAAGACAAAGAAUAUUGUUGUGCACAAAAAACUAUAAUGAUGAGAAGGUUGAUAUCCCAGCAAGGACCAGACAAUUUAUCGAAACAUUGGAUAAUGAAAUGAAAGAAAACAACAUACAAAAUAUUGAUCAAUUUGAUCUGAUAUUCUUCCAUAUCAGUGUGAACACUAUUAUAUCUUCUGCAUCAACAUGGUCAAACCAUGAGUGGGUAAUAGACAUAAUUGACAACACAAAGUUGGCUAGGAACAUCAACUUCAGAUCAAAGUACAAAAGACUACCCAAAAAAGAUGAAGAAUGCAUUUCAAGAGUUUGUGAAAACAAAGGGAAUAACAACAAGUGAUUUGCUUGAGCAAAUGAGGUAAAGGAUAAUAAAGAUGCCAUGCAAGGACAACAUCAACCACACAGGCUGUGGAGUGUUUGUCAUGAGACACAUAGAAACAUACAUUGGAGGAGCAGAAGAAUGGGAUUGUGGACUUGGGUACAAAAUGUAGGUUCAUACUUAAUUUUCUCUAACUUUCGUUACAUGUUCUUUUUAUAACUGAAUAUUCUAUUUCUAAAGCAUGGUGUGCAACAUUUAUACAUGAAGAAAAGAUAAAAAAGUUGAGAGUUAAGUAUAUCUUAAAUAGGAGUUUAGUUCUACAUCUAACUGUAAAUGUUCUAUUUCUAUUUGUAAUAUGUUAUAUCUAUAUAGUUAAAUGUUCUAUUUCCAUCUUUUUAUAGAACAUGUUUAAUUUAUAAGAGUAUAAUGUUCUAGUUUA
Beta vulgaris subsp. vulgaris (sugar beet) is the source of this 1937-nucleotide long non-coding RNA. RefSeq lists it as uncharacterized. The record is from RefSeq and is a predicted model, not a curated record. NCBI's taxonomy places the organism in Eukaryota, Viridiplantae, Streptophyta, Magnoliopsida, Caryophyllales, Amaranthaceae. The transcript has 6 exons.